This 486-nucleotide ribosomal RNA is filed under the name uncultured bacterium. RNAcentral's name for it is "partial 16S ribosomal RNA". It matches the Rfam family "Bacterial small subunit ribosomal RNA", at positions 30 to 507 of the family's 1533-position model. The record is from RNAcentral.
AUUGAACGCUGGCGGCAUGCCUUACACAUGCAAGUCGAACGGCAGCACGGGUGCUUGCACCUGGUGGCGAGUGGCGAACGGGUGAGUAAUACAUCGGAACAUGUCCUGUAGUGGGGGAUAGCCCGGCGAAAGCCGGAUUAAUACCGCAUACGAUCUACGGAUGAAAGCCGGGGACCUUCGGGCCUCGCGCUAUAGGGUUGGCCGAUGGCUGAUUAGCUAGUUGGUGGGGUAAAGGCCUACCAAGGCGACGAUCAGUAGCUGGUCUGAGAGGACGACCAGCCACACUGGGACUGAGACACGGCCCAGACUCCUACGGGAGGCAGCAGUGGGGAAUUUUGGACAAUGGGCGAAAGCCUGAUCCAGCAAUGCCGCGUGUGUGAAGAAGGCCUUCGGGUUGUAAAGCACUUUUGUCCGGAAAGAAAUCCUUGGCCCUAAUACGGUCGGGGGAUGACGGUACCGGAAGAAUAAGCACCGGCUAACUACGUG